GACGCCACCCAAAUAUAACCCCUAUCUUCCCUGCUGUUAUCGGGUACCGACACGCUAAUAUGACCUUUG
RNAcentral lists this transfer RNA (69 nucleotides) under Diaphanoeca grandis. The record is from RNAcentral. Lineage: Eukaryota; Choanoflagellata; Acanthoecida; Stephanoecidae.